CUCAUGCCUUCAGUUCACUGGUGUGCUCUACAUAGCGAUGAACCACAACCAAGUGAGUCUGGCCUGCCUCUGACAAGAAGGGCAUUGUCAGCCACAUUAAUAAAACGCAGCGAGUCAGGACCCUGUCUGAGCUAGAGACACAGAACCACCUGAACCCCUGACAAGUUCAAGGCAGGGAGAAAGAGUCUCCUGGCAACAUAAUG
This is a long non-coding RNA of Brienomyrus brachyistius, 203 nucleotides long. RefSeq lists it as uncharacterized. NCBI's taxonomy places the organism in Eukaryota, Metazoa, Chordata, Actinopteri, Osteoglossiformes, Mormyridae. The record is from RefSeq and is a predicted model, not a curated record. The transcript is spliced from 3 exons.